GAUCAAGCGACUAAGUGCAUCUGGUGGAUGCCUUGGCGAUCAUAGGCGAUGAAGGACGUGUAAGCCUGCGAAAAGCGCGGGGGAGCUGGCAAUAGAGCAUUGAUCCCGCGAUGUCCGAAUGGGGAAACCCACCUCUUUUGAGGUAUCCUUGGCUGAAUCCAUAGGCCAGCGGAGGCGAACCCGGCGAACUGAAACAUCUAAGUAGCCGGAGGAAAAGAAAUCAACCGAGAUUCCGCAAGUAGUGGCGAGCGAACGCGGAAGAGCCUGUACGUGAUAGCAGUCGUGUUAGAAGAACGGU
RNAcentral lists this ribosomal RNA (298 nucleotides) under Laribacter hongkongensis. Its description in RNAcentral is "partial 23S ribosomal RNA". It matches the Rfam family "Bacterial large subunit ribosomal RNA", at positions 1 to 310 of the family's 2925-position model. The record is from RNAcentral. Lineage: Bacteria; Pseudomonadati; Pseudomonadota; Betaproteobacteria; Neisseriales; Aquaspirillaceae.